AGGUACCAUUCGUAAACUGCGGUUCGCCCGCGCCGUCCGCACCCACGUGACGACUGCUCGCUACGUUUUUUAUUA
RNAcentral lists this small RNA (75 nucleotides) under Xanthomonas fragariae. RNAcentral's name for it is "sX9 sRNA". It matches the Rfam family "Xanthomonas sRNA sX9". Lineage: Bacteria; Pseudomonadati; Pseudomonadota; Gammaproteobacteria; Lysobacterales; Lysobacteraceae. The record is from RNAcentral.